Molecule: ribosomal RNA, 308 nt
Filed under: uncultured bacterium
Lineage: Bacteria
Description: partial 16S ribosomal RNA
Rfam family: Bacterial small subunit ribosomal RNA
Source: RNAcentral
UGGGGAAUAUUGCACAAUGGGCGCAAGCCUGAUGCAGCCAUGCCGCGUGUGUGAAGAAGGCCUUCGGGUUGUAAAGCACUUUCAGCGAGGAGGAAGGGUAGUGUGUUAAUAGCACAUUGCAUUGACGUUACUCGCAGAAGAAGCACCGGCUAACUCCGUGCCAGCAGCCGCGGUAAUACGGAGGGUGCAAGCGUUAAUCGGAAUUACUGGGCGUAAAGCGCACGCAGGCGGUUUGUUAAGUCAGAUGUGAAAUCCCCGCGCUUAACGUGGGAACUGCAUUUGAAACUGGCAAGCUAGAGUCUUGUAGA